CUUGAGCUAAGCUAUGACCCUAUACAUUUGCUUUACCCAACCUCUCCAUUUCCUUUAUGGUGCUUCCAAGUUCUACUGCUACUUCCCAAGAAUGGCUACCUUCUUUUAUAUGCGAAUGAAUAUGCUGCCAAAAUUGCCUAGCCUAACUUCCAAUUUCGUGUUUUUGGCUCUAAUCCUCUGCAGCCUGGCCAUUGCAUAUCAACCUUCAGUUUUAAAAUCGAUUAGUUUUGCCAGGUAUAUAUAUUUUUCUUUUGUAUUUUCUGUUUCUUUUAUUAAAAAAAAAUUGAAAUUGAAUGUUAAAAUUCUCGAAAUUUAAUUAGAUGGACCUACAGCUGAAUUUAAUUCGUG
RNAcentral lists this long non-coding RNA (348 nucleotides) under Manihot esculenta (cassava). Its description in RNAcentral is "long non-coding RNA (MESC_LNC007642)". The record is from RNAcentral. Lineage: Eukaryota; Viridiplantae; Streptophyta; Magnoliopsida; Malpighiales; Euphorbiaceae.